Molecule: ribosomal RNA, 320 nt
Filed under: uncultured bacterium
Lineage: Bacteria
Description: bacterial SSU rRNA
Rfam family: Bacterial small subunit ribosomal RNA
Source: RNAcentral
CGCCGCGUGAGUGAUGAAGGAUUUCGGUCUGUAAAGCUCUGUUGUUUAUGACGAAGUGCAGUGUGUGAACAAUGCAUUGCAAUGACGGUAGUAAACGAGGAAGCCACGGCUAACUACGUGCUAGCAGCCGCGGUAAUACGUAGGUGGCGAGCGUUGUCCGGAAUUAUUGGGCGUAAAGAGCAUGUAGGCGGCUUAAUAAGUCGAGCGUGAAAAUGCGGGGCUCAACCCCGUAUGGCGCUGGAAACUGUUAGGCUUGAGUGCAGGAGAGGAAAGGGGAAUUCCCAGUGUAGCGGUGAAAUGCGUAGAUAUUGGGAGGAACA